Molecule: long non-coding RNA, 330 nt
Filed under: Mytilus galloprovincialis (Mediterranean mussel)
Lineage: Eukaryota; Metazoa; Mollusca; Bivalvia; Mytilida; Mytilidae
Source: RNAcentral
GUCUAUGUGAAUAUUAAACAAAGGAAGCAGAUGGAUUCAUGACAAAAUUGUGUUUUGGUGAUGGUGAUAUGUUUGUACAUCUUACUUUACUAAACAGUCUUGCUGCUUACAAUUAUCUCUAUCUAUAAUGAACUUGGCCCAGUAGUUUCAGUGGAAAAUGUUAAUAAAAAUUUACAAAUUUUAUGAAAAUUGUUAAAAAUUGACUAUAAAGGACAAUAACUCCUUAGGGGGUCAAUUGACCAUUUCGGUCACGUUGACUUAUUUGUAAAUCUUACUUUGCUGAACAUUAUUGCUGUUUACACUUUAUCUCUAUCUAUAAUAAUAUUCAAG